This is a non-coding RNA of Nicotiana tabacum (common tobacco), 322 nucleotides long. The record is from RefSeq and is a predicted model, not a curated record. NCBI's taxonomy places the organism in Eukaryota, Viridiplantae, Streptophyta, Magnoliopsida, Solanales, Solanaceae.
GUCUUCCGCUGCGUGUUACGAACACCUAUACGCAAUCCUUCAGUGGUAUCAGAGCCGAAAACAUGCUAUCCAUGACAGCAGAAGAUAUAUUUGACACAACAUGUGCCAAGAAACAACUCCUGCCCAUUAAGCAUGUCCAACACAUGCUUUCAGACAAAAUCUUUCGCGUUCAAUUGAGAAAAUCAUCCUGGAAAGGUUACAGCAGCAUGCAUGCAAAUCUAUCCGUUUUGUCCUAUGUUGAAAAAGAGCACAUCUUUCAACCCAGUAUUGGUGAGAGGAACAAAAAGAAAGUCAAACCUCUUGGGUCAACUGUAAUAGAAAC